This 222-nucleotide ribosomal RNA is filed under the name uncultured bacterium. Its description in RNAcentral is "partial 16S ribosomal RNA". It matches the Rfam family "Bacterial small subunit ribosomal RNA", at positions 328 to 539 of the family's 1533-position model. The record is from RNAcentral.
ACGCUCGACACCUACGGGAGGCAGCAGUAGGGAAUCUUCCACAAUGGACGCAAGUCUGAUGGAGCAACGCCGCGUGAGUGAAGAAGGUUUUCGGAUCGUAAAGCUCUGUUGUUGGUGAAGAAGGAUGAGGUAGUAACUGGCCUUUAUUUGACGGUAAUCAACCAGAAAGUCACGGCUAACUACGUGCCAACAGCCGCGGUAAUCUGAGCGGGCUGGCAAGGC